GCUUUUGUAGACCUUUUCAGGUCUAUGUUGCUUCAUUUACCCCCAAUGUAUGUUAAUAGAAUGUUGUGCCUAUAAUAAUAUAUACAACUUUCAGCAACUGCGAUAAGUAAUGUGAAUUGCAGAAUUCAGUGAAUCAUCGAAUCUUUGAACGCACCUUGCGCUCCUUGGUAUUCCGAGGAGCAUGCCUGUUUGAGUGUCAUUAAUAUAUCAACCUUCUCUUGUUGAGUGGUUUGGAUGUGGGAGUUUGCUGGCCUCUUGAAAGGUUUUAGCUCUCCUGAAAUGCAUUAGCGGAACAACCCUGUUCAUUGGCGUGAUAACUAUCGACGCUAUUGAAUGUAAAGGGCAGUUUGGCUUUCUAACAGUCCUUGGACAGCUCAUCAUUAAUGUGACCUCAAAUCAGGUAGGACUACCCGCUGAACUUAAGCAUAUCAAUAAGCGGAGGAAAAGAAACUAACAAGGAUUCCCCUAGUA
Molecule: ribosomal RNA, 471 nt
Filed under: uncultured Cortinarius
Lineage: Eukaryota; Fungi; Basidiomycota; Agaricomycetes; Agaricales; Cortinariaceae
Description: eukaryotic LSU rRNA
Rfam family: Eukaryotic large subunit ribosomal RNA (bases 387-471)
Source: RNAcentral